GGUGUUGGGUUAAGUCCCGCAACGAGCCGCAACCCCUACUGCCAGUUACUAACAGGUAACGCUGAGGACUCUGGCGGAACUGCCGGUGACAAACCGGAGGAAGGUGGGGAUGACGUCAAGUCAUCAUGGCCCUUAUGUCCAGGGCUACACACGUGCUACAAUGGGCGGUACAAAGUGACGCGAAACCGCGAGGUUAGAGCGAAGCGCCAAAAGCCGCCCGUAGUUCGGAUUGAAGUCUGAAACCCGACUUCAUGAAGUUGGAAUCGCUAGUAAUCGCGCAUCAGCAUGGNGCGGUGAAUACGUUCCCGGGCCUUGUACACACCGCCCGUCACACCAUCCGAGUUGGAGGUACCCGAAGCCGGUNGUCUAACCGCAAGGGGGACGCUGUCGAAGGUACGUUUAGUGAGGAGGGUGAAGUCGUAACAAGGUAGCCGUACUGGAAAGUGCGGCUGGAUCACCUCCUUUCU
RNAcentral lists this ribosomal RNA (467 nucleotides) under uncultured spirochete Za21. Its description in RNAcentral is "bacterial SSU rRNA". It matches the Rfam family "Bacterial small subunit ribosomal RNA", at positions 1071 to 1533 of the family's 1533-position model. Lineage: Bacteria; Pseudomonadati; Spirochaetota; Spirochaetia; Spirochaetales. The record is from RNAcentral.